Molecule: ribosomal RNA, 429 nt
Filed under: Acidobacteriota bacterium
Lineage: Bacteria; Pseudomonadati; Acidobacteriota
Description: Acidobacteria bacterium partial 16S ribosomal RNA
Rfam family: Bacterial small subunit ribosomal RNA
Source: RNAcentral
UGGGGAAUUUUGGACAAUGGGGGAAACCCUGAUCCAGCCAUCCCGCGUGUGCGAUGAAGGCCUUCGGGUUGUAAAGCACUUUUGGCAGGAAAGAAACGUCAUGGGUUAAUACCCCGUGAAACUGACGGUACCUGCAGAAUAAGCACCGGCUAACUACGUGCCAGCAGCCGCGGUAAUACGUAGGGUGCAAGCGUUAAUCGGAAUUACUGGGCGUAAAGCGUGCGCAGGCGGUUCGGAAAGAAAGAUGUGAAAUCCCAGAGCUCAACUUUGGAACUGCAUUUUUAACUACCGGGCUAGAGUGUGUCAGAGGGAGGUGGAAUUCCGCGUGUAGCAGUGAAAUGCGUAGAUAUGCGGAGGAACACCGAUGGCGAAGGCAGCCUCCUGGGAUAACACUGACGCUCAUGCACGAUAGCGUGGGGAGCAAACAGG